Molecule: ribosomal RNA, 253 nt
Filed under: uncultured bacterium
Lineage: Bacteria
Description: partial 16S ribosomal RNA
Rfam family: Bacterial small subunit ribosomal RNA
Source: RNAcentral
UACGUAGGGGGCGAGCGUUAUCCGGAAUUACUGAGCGUAAAGCGCACGCAGGCGGUUCGCCAAGUUUGGAGUGACAGUUGUCGGCUCAACCGACAAAGGACUUCAAAAACUGGUGAACUUGAGGACGAGAGAGGAACAUGGAACUCCAGGUGUAGUAGUGAAAUGCGUAGAUAUCUGGAAGAACACCAAUGGCGAAGGCAAUGUUCUGGCUCGUUUCUGACGCUCAGGUGCGAAAGCCAGGGGAGCGAACGGG